UGCCUGCCCUUCUUGUGGUGAAGGAAGUAUGUCCCUGGAAAGGCUGCUGAGUCUUGAACUGCUUCUAGGGGAGUUGCGGGUGGCACACGUCUCUGCUACUAUCGCGGUGAGGCAGAGCUAUAGGGAGCCAAAAACCAGGGUUUCCUUGUCACAGGCCCAGUUCUGAACGGGAGGUAGAAUCUGGUAAAGUAGUCCAGUUGUUCUUGGAUAACCAUGUGACCUGUUCUCCUCAAUAUCUUGAUUACCUGUGGGAAUUUUAAUAAUUUUAGCCUCAUUUCAUGGUAUUUUUGU
This 291-nucleotide long non-coding RNA is filed under the name Chinchilla lanigera (long-tailed chinchilla). RNAcentral describes it as "ST7 overlapping transcript 4 conserved region 3 (ENSCLAG00000020967.1)". It matches the Rfam family "ST7 overlapping transcript 4 conserved region 3". The record is from RNAcentral. Lineage: Eukaryota; Metazoa; Chordata; Mammalia; Rodentia; Chinchillidae.